UACGUAGGGCGCAAGCGUUGUCCGGAAUUAUUGGGCGUAAAGAGCUCGUAGGCGGCUUGUCACGUCGGGUGUGAAAGCCCGGGGCUUAACCCCGGGUCUGCAUUCGAUACGGGCUAGCUAGAGUGUGGUAGGGGAGAUCGGAAUUCCUGGUGUAGCGGUGAAAUGCGCAGAUAUCAGGAGGAACACCGGUGGCGAAGGCGGAUCUCUGGGCCAUUACUGACGCUGAGAAGCGAAAGCGUGGGGAGCGAACAGG
RNAcentral lists this ribosomal RNA (253 nucleotides) under uncultured bacterium. RNAcentral's name for it is "partial 16S ribosomal RNA". It matches the Rfam family "Bacterial small subunit ribosomal RNA", at positions 524 to 776 of the family's 1533-position model. The record is from RNAcentral.